GAUGAACGCUGGCGGCGUGCUUUAACACAUGCAAGUCGAACGAAGCACCUUGGACAGAUUCUUCGGAUGAAGUCUUUGGCGACUGAGUGGCGGACGGGUGAGUAACGCGUGGGUAACCUGCCUCAUACAGGGGAUAACAGUUAGAAAUGGCUGCUAAUACCGCAUAAGCGCACGGUACUGCAUGGUACAGUGUGAAAACUCCGGUGGUAUGAGAUGGACCCGCGUUGGAUUAGCUAGUUGGCAGGUGACGGCCUACAAGGCGACGAUCCAUAGCCGGCCUGAGAGGGUGACGGCACAUUGGGACUGAGACACGGCCCAGACUCCUACGGGAGCAGCAGUGGGAAUAUUGCACAAUGGGGAAACCCUGAUGCAGCGACGCCGCGUGAAGCGAAGAAGUAUUUCGGUAUGUAAAGCUCU
This 417-nucleotide ribosomal RNA is filed under the name uncultured bacterium. RNAcentral's name for it is "bacterial SSU rRNA". It matches the Rfam family "Bacterial small subunit ribosomal RNA", at positions 28 to 434 of the family's 1533-position model. The record is from RNAcentral.